RNAcentral lists this ribosomal RNA (406 nucleotides) under uncultured bacterium. RNAcentral's name for it is "partial 16S ribosomal RNA". It matches the Rfam family "Bacterial small subunit ribosomal RNA", at positions 30 to 526 of the family's 1533-position model. The record is from RNAcentral.
AUUGAACGCUGGCGGCAGGCCUAACACAUGCAAGUCGAACGAGUGGCGGACGGGUGAGUAAUGUCUGGGAAUCUGCCUGAUGGAGGGGGAUAACUACUGGACACUGUCGCUAAUCCCGAAUCCCAUCGGAUGACCCCAGAUGGGAUUCGCUUGUAGGUGGGGAAAAGGCUCACCUCGGCGACGAUCCCUAGCUGGUCUGAGAGGAUGACCAGCCACACUGGGACUGAGACACGGUCCAGACUCCUACGGGAGGCAGCAGUGGGGAAUAUUGCACAAUGGGCGCAAGCCUGACGCAGCCAGGCCGCGUGUAUGAAGAAGGCCUUCGGGUUGUAAAGUACUUUCAGCAGGGAGGCGUUACCCGCAGAAGAAGCACCGGCUAACUCCGUGCCAGCAGCCGCGGUAAUAC